Pseudogymnoascus pannorum is the source of this 89-nucleotide transfer RNA. It matches the Rfam family "tRNA". From Rfam's summary of the family: Transfer RNA (tRNA) molecules are approximately 80 nucleotides in length. Their secondary structure includes four short double-helical elements and three loops (D, anti-codon, and T loops). Further hydrogen bonds mediate the characteristic L-shaped molecular structure. tRNAs have two regions of fundamental functional importance: the anti-codon, which is responsible for specific mRNA codon recognition, and the 3' end, to which the tRNAs corresponding amino acid is attached (by aminoacyl-tRNA synthetases). tRNAs cope with the degeneracy of the genetic code in two manners: having more than one tRNA (with a specific anti-codon) for a particular amino acid; and 'wobble' base-pairing, i.e. permitting non-standard base-pairing at the 3rd anti-codon position. NCBI's taxonomy places the organism in Eukaryota, Fungi, Ascomycota, Leotiomycetes, Thelebolales, Thelebolaceae. The record is from Rfam.
UCCGGUAUAGUGUAGGGGUUAACAUAACCCGCUUUCAAGAAAUUUUCUCUGGAGCCGGGUAGCCCCGGGUUCGAUUCCCGGUACCGGAA